ACGCCUUACUAUACUAUGUCGAAAAAAAAGGCGAUUUUUCAAACAUGUUGUAAAAACAUGCCAUAUGAUGAAAUAAUGUAAAGGAGGCCGUGAAAAACACUCCAGAAAGGUUUUCUGUGAAAAAAAAAAUCAUCAUGAAUUUUGGCGCAAAAAAAAACGCCUUACUAUACUAUGUCGAAAAAAAAGGCGAUUUUUCAAACAUGUUGUAAAAACGUGCCAUAUGAUGAAAUAAUGUAAAGGAGGGCGUGAAAAACACUCCAGAAAGGUUUUCUUUGGAAAAAAAAAUCAUCAUGAAUUUUGGCGCAAAAAAAACGCCUUACUAUACUAUGUCGAAAAAAAAGGCGAUUUUUCAAACAUGUUGUAAAAACGUGCCAUAUGAUGAAAUAAUGUAAAGGAGGGCGUGAAAAACACUCCAGAAAGGUUUUCUUUGAAAAAAAAAUCAUCAUGAAUUUUGGCGCAAAAAAAACGCCUUACUAUACUAUGUUGAAAAAAAAGGCGAUUUUUCAAACAUGUUGUAAAAACAUGCCAUAUGAU
Long non-coding RNA from Amphiprion ocellaris (clown anemonefish), 534 nucleotides. Lineage: Eukaryota; Metazoa; Chordata; Actinopteri; Pomacentridae. The record is from Ensembl.